GAUGAACGCUGGCGGCGUGCCUAAUACAUGCAAGUCGAGCGAACAGACGAUGAGCUUUCUCCUCUGACGUUAGCGGCGGACGGGUGAGUAACACAUAGAUAACCUACCUGUAUGACUGGGAUAACUUCGGGAAACCGCAGCUAAUACCGGAUAAUAUAUUGCACCUCUUGGUUCAAUAGUGAAAGACGGUUUUGCUGUCACUUAUAGAUGGAUCCGCGCCGCCUUAGCUAGUUUGUAAGGUAACGGAUUACCAAGGCGAUGAUGCGUAGCCGAACUGAGAGGAUGAUGGGCAACUGGGCAAAUGAGACAAUGACCAGAACCGUACGGGAGGCAGGAGCAGGAAUCCUACCGGAAGGAGCGAUAGCGUGUAGGACAAAAGCAGCGAGAGUGAUAAAGGGCUAUGGAGCGUAAAGCUUUGUUAUUAGGGAAUAACAAAUGUGUAAGUAAAGAUGCAAGUAUGGCGGUUACCUAAGAAGAAAGCAACGCCUAAUUACGU
Molecule: ribosomal RNA, 496 nt
Filed under: uncultured bacterium
Lineage: Bacteria
Description: partial 16S ribosomal RNA
Rfam family: Bacterial small subunit ribosomal RNA
Source: RNAcentral